AAAGUCGUAACAAGGUUUCCGUAGGUGAACCUGCGGAAGGAUCAUUAACAAAUCAAGUGUGCUUGCACACAUUAAUCCUUGUGAAUUGUCAAUUUCUUUUUGGAAUUGAAAUUUUAGAUUAGUGAACUGUGGUUCAUUAAAUCAAAAUAUAAACGUCUAAAAAAACAAGACUGAAUCCAAAAUUAAAAAAAAAAUUACAACUUUUAACAAUGGAUCUCUUGGCUCUU
Molecule: unclassified non-coding RNA, 227 nt
Filed under: Chytridiomycota sp.
Lineage: Eukaryota; Fungi; Chytridiomycota
Description: partial contains small subunit ribosomal RNA, internal transcribed spacer 1, and 5.8S ribosomal RNA
Rfam family: Eukaryotic small subunit ribosomal RNA (bases 1-47)
Source: RNAcentral